AGUAAUGUAUCGGAACGUGCCCAGUCGUGGGGGAUAACCGCUCGAAAGAGCAGCUAAUACCGCAUACGACCUGAGGGUGAAAGCGGGGGAUCGCAAGACCUCGCGCGAUUGGAGCGGCCGAUAUCAGAUUAGGUAGUUGGUGAGGUAAAGGCUCACCAAGCCGACGAUCUGUAGCUGGUCUGAGAGGACGACCAGCCACACUGGGACUGAGACACGGCCCAG
RNAcentral lists this ribosomal RNA (222 nucleotides) under uncultured bacterium. Its description in RNAcentral is "partial 16S ribosomal RNA". It matches the Rfam family "Bacterial small subunit ribosomal RNA", at positions 109 to 334 of the family's 1533-position model. The record is from RNAcentral.